UGGAGGAUCCACGGUGUAUCCACCGAGUACUAGCAACAAACGCAAGCGGUCAAUGUGCGUACCCGUUUGUCAUGCACUGGCGGGUGACAGAGAGAGAAAGAGAGAGAAAGAUCCAUAGGGAGAAAAGUGUGUGAGUGACAUCCCGUUCGCUUUCAUUGUGGACUGGAAAUGUCAACACGCACACAUCUGCCCUCGCUUACUUUGACUCGGCGGUGUUGCGUUUGCCUCCCAAUGGAAUUUCAGUGGGGCUCUCGCGUGAGUAUUGUCCACCAGGAAAAAUGUGCCGCCUGGACUGGAUUCUGGAAUUGUGUCGAAUUUGCAGAGCAAUCUACCCGAUUCAAACAACCAUGAACUCAGGCUCAGUCAAUUCCGGCCACACAAAACGAACAAAACGUACAAUACACACCGAACCGAAUCACUGGACCAUAACACGCACGUUCGAAUAUACUCACUGGAUGCGUUGUUCUUUUGUAGCCUUCUUCCGCCCUUCCCCCACCCACCUUUAACCCCGUCGGACAAAUCAGCUAAAUGCAUUCAAAAACUGGCAUAUUUGGUGCUGUAUGGUGCCGUAGUUGGCAUUCAAAUAUAAUGUAAUCGAAACCGAGACUAGCCCCCAUACACGUUGGGCGCGGAUGUAUCGAUCAAUGCAUUACCAACAGGUGAAGGCGUAGCGGGUGCUACCCGACACGCAUUCCAGCUGGACAUUGUUUUGGAGGGUUCGGAGUUUGGUGCCUCGCUCUCAAAAUGUAGGGCCACAGCACUGCUCGUCCAAACGUGCAAGGGAUCCCAAAAUACUAGACGGCCGCAUUGCAUUGUUGUGCUCCCCCCUAUCGUGAGUGAUUUUUAAAAACCAUGUUUUAGUCUGUCCAUCGUUCUGCCACUACAUCCAGCCAAUUGUUCGAAGAAAGUACCCCAAUGGUCGAGUUUCCAAA
This is a long non-coding RNA of Anopheles funestus (African malaria mosquito), 932 nucleotides long. RefSeq lists it as uncharacterized. NCBI's taxonomy places the organism in Eukaryota, Metazoa, Arthropoda, Insecta, Diptera, Culicidae. The record is from RefSeq and is a predicted model, not a curated record. The transcript has 3 exons.